Molecule: ribosomal RNA, 243 nt
Filed under: uncultured bacterium
Lineage: Bacteria
Description: partial 16S ribosomal RNA
Rfam family: Bacterial small subunit ribosomal RNA
Source: RNAcentral
CACGCCGUAAACGAUGAAUGCCAGUCGUCGGUGCGCAUGCGUAUCGGUGACACACCUAACGGAUUAAGCAUUCCGCCUGGGGAGUACGGUCGCAAGAUUAAAACUCAAAGGAAUUGACGGGGGCCCGCACAAGCAGCGGAGCAUGUGGUUUAAUUCGAAGCAACGCGAAGAACCUUACCUAGACUUGACAUCUCCUGAAUUACCCGUAAUGGGGGAAGCUCUUCGGAGCAGGAAGACAGGUGG